GGUUUGAUUCUGGCUCAGAUUGAACGCUGGCGGGAUGCUUUACACAUGCAAGUCGAACGGGCAGCACGGACUUCGGUCUGCGGCGAGUAUGAAUCGGCGGAGGAAGGAAUGGGUCGUGCCAUAGUGGGGGAUAAAUUCACGUUGAAAGCGGCAGCUAAUACCAUUUCGCAUACGUUCUUCGUGGUGCGGGGACCUUCGCCUCGCACCAUUAGAGCGGCCGACACUGAUUAGCUAGUUGGUGGGGCAACUGUCGUACCUGGCGCGACGAUCCGUAGCUGGCUCGAGAGGACGACCAGCCACACUGGGACUGAGAUACGGCCCAGACUCUUACGGAGGCAGUGAAAGCGGGGAAUUCUGGACAAUGGGGGAAACCUGAUCCAGCCGCAUCUCGCGUGCGAUGAAGGCCUUCGGGUUGUAAAGCACUUUUGGCAGGAAAAGAAACGGCACGGGAUAAUACCCGUGCAACUGACGGUACUCUGCAGAAUACACCGGCUAACUACGUGCCAGCAGCCGCGGUAAUGUAGGUGCGGGUGCCAGGACUGAAUUACUGGCGCGGAAGCGUGCGUAGGCGGUUCGGAAAGAAAGAUGUGAAACUUCAGAGCUUAACUUUGAACUGCAUUUUUAACUACCGAGCUAGGAGAAGUCAGAGGGAGGUGGAAUUCCGCGUAGCAGUGAAAUGCGUAGAUAUGCGGAGGAACACCGAUGGCGAAGGCAGCCUCCUGCAUAACACUGACGCUCAUGCACGAAAGCGUGGGGAGCAAACAGGAUUAGAUACCCUGGUAGUCCACGCCCUAAACGAUGUCAACUAGCUGUUGGGGCCUUCGGGCCUUGGUAGCGCAGCUAACGCGGUGAAGUUGACCGCCUGGGGAGUACGGUCGCAAGAUUAAAACUCAAAGGAAUUGACGGGGACCCGCACAAGCGGUGGAUGAUGUGGUUUCAAUCUGAUGCAACGCGAAAAACCUUACCUACCCUUGACAUGUCUGGAAUCCCGAAGAGAUUUGGGAGUGCUCGCAUGAGAACUCGGAAACAGGUGCUGCAUGGCUGUCGUCAGUCAGCGUGAGAUGUUGGGUUAAGUCCUCGCAACGAGCGCAACCCUUGUCAUUAGUUGCGCCACAGUGCAAGGCACUUUAAGGAGACUGCUGCGACGCAAACCGGAGGAAGGGGGAUGACGUCAUGCCCAUGGCCCUUAUGGGUAGGGCUUCACACGUCAUGCCAAUGGUCGGGACAGAGGGUCGCCAAAUCCGCGAGGGGAGCCAAUCCCAGAAACCCGAUCGUCUGAUCGCAGUCUGCAACUCGACUGCGUGAAGUCGGAAUCGCUAGUAAUCGCGGAUCAGCAUGUCGCGGUGAAUACGUUCCCGGGUCUUGUACACACCGCCCAUCACACCAUGGGAGUGGGUUUACCAGAAGUAGUUAGCCUAACCGUAAGGAGGGCGAUUACCACGGUAGAUUCAUGACUGGGUGUAGUCGUAACAAGGUAG
RNAcentral lists this ribosomal RNA (1478 nucleotides) under uncultured Bordetella sp. Its description in RNAcentral is "partial 16S-23S ribosomal RNA intergenic spacer". It matches the Rfam family "Bacterial small subunit ribosomal RNA". The record is from RNAcentral. Lineage: Bacteria; Pseudomonadati; Pseudomonadota; Betaproteobacteria; Burkholderiales; Alcaligenaceae.